Molecule: small RNA, 495 nt
Filed under: Pongo abelii (Sumatran orangutan)
Lineage: Eukaryota; Metazoa; Chordata; Mammalia; Primates; Hominidae
Description: retained intron
Source: RNAcentral
CGGUGUUUGAGAAGAAAUUUCCUGUUUUAAGGUUUUCAUUUACAUUUUCAGGAUUAUUCUAUAUUUUUCAGAUUCACAGAGUUCAACAGCGUGUUACAAUUAAGAAAGCUUUGACUCUAAAAUAUGGAGAAGAGCUUGCUCGGGCAAAGGCAGUGGCUAGUAAAGAAAUAGGAAAACGUAAACUGGAACAAGAUCGCUUUGGGCCAAACAAAAUGAUGAGACUGGACAGUUCUCCAGUAUCAAGUCCAAGAAAGCAUUCAGCAGAACUAAUUGCUAUGGAGAAAAGACGGUUACAAAAGCUGGAAUAUGAAUAUGCCCUGAAAAUUCAAAAAUUAAAAGAAGCCCGUGCCCUUAAAGCAAAGGAACAACAAAAUAUCUCUCCAGUUGUGGAAGAGGAACCCGAAUUUUCUUUACCUCAACCCUCACUUCAUGAUCUGACACAAGAUAAAUUAACCCUGGACACUGAAGAAAAUGAUAUUGAUGAUGAAAUUUUGU